RNAcentral lists this ribosomal RNA (253 nucleotides) under uncultured bacterium. RNAcentral describes it as "partial 16S ribosomal RNA". It matches the Rfam family "Bacterial small subunit ribosomal RNA", at positions 524 to 776 of the family's 1533-position model. The record is from RNAcentral.
UACGGGGGGGGCAAGCGUUGUUCGGAAUUACUGGGCGUAAAGGGCGCGUAGGCGGCUUUUCAAGUCGGGCGUGAAAUCUCCGGGCUUAACCCGGAAGGGUCGUUCGAUACUGUUGAGCUAGAGUGUGGAAGAGGCAACUAGAAUUCCGUGUGUAGCGGUGAAAUGCGUAGAUAUACGGAGGAAUACCUGAGGCGAAGGCGGGUUGCUGGGCCAACACUGACACUGAAGUGCGAAAGCCAGGGGAGCAAACGGG